Microcebus murinus (gray mouse lemur) is the source of this 1297-nucleotide non-coding RNA. Lineage: Eukaryota; Metazoa; Chordata; Mammalia; Primates; Cheirogaleidae. The record is from RefSeq and is a predicted model, not a curated record.
UCAUGCUGGUCUUGAGCUACUGGCCUCAAAGGAUCCUUCUGCCUUGGCCUUCCAGAGUGCUGGGAUUAUAAGAGUAAGCCAAGGCACCCGGCCCAGUUUUCUGAUUAUUCACAUUGUAUCUUUUUUGGUGGGUUCCUUUACUAUCCCUUAGUCACAAAAUAGCUUGCUAAUUAAGUGUGGGAAGUGGUGUGGGUAUGCCUCGUUUAAAAAUUUAAGUAGACAAAACUCUUGAAAUGCAAAGGAUCAUGAAUGUAAACCAAAUUGAGGUUCCAUCGCUCUACUUAGGGAGAAGGCCUCAGCAGCGCCAAGGUCACCAGGCCCUCUGUUCCUUGCAUACCUCGGGGGCCUGUCCCCCACUUUUCUUUAUCCCAUUGCAUUAGAUCCUUGGCAGAGAGGGCCUCAAGACUUUCCACAAAAUGGGUCUGGCAAAGAAACGACUCCAUUCUUGCCAAUCUUCAAGAAGAAGGAAUUGAGGCUGGACCUUCUAAAUGGACACAUUCCAUCCUGUGUGAGGAGACGGUUUUCAGCACCCGCCCCUGCCCCAGAUGGGAUCCCAGCUCCAGACCUUGCCUUGCAGGCUGCUGCUUCUGUAACUCGGAACAUUUCAAUGUUCUCUGCUUGGAACCCUCUGGAGCAUCACCUAGAAACUUCAAUCAGAAUGGAUGGGGUGUUCCAUCUGGGGGGGGGGGAAGGGAUACCCCGUGUCAAGCACCAUGGAGGGUGGACUACAUGCUCUUUCAAUCCUCAACAUAGCCCAGUAAGGUAGACACUGCUGUUCCCAUUUUCAGAGUAACCAACUUGAAUGUAUACCUCCUUUGAAAAAUAAGAAGCGGAUUUUUCAAAGCACACAUCGGACCCACCAAUUAUUCUUGGAUGACCCUUCAACAUGGACACAUGUGAUCAACAGGUGCUCAAGGGUGAUUUCAAAUCACGUUUAACUCAUGCUCGUGAGUCCUUGGGAGGGGAUUGCUAUCAGAUCUAGAGUCACAGAUUAGGAGCUCGAAUGGACUUUGAAGCUCGAGCCUCAUGGACAGACCAGAAAACCCUGGCCUGGAGGGACACACUCAUCCAGAGCCCAGAGGAAACCAGAAGUCCAGCUUGCUGCUGUCCCACCUGCUGGUUUUUCUACCACAUUGCACCCUCUUACCACUUCUUUUCUCCAGAAACCAGAGAGACACUGGGCAAACUUGAUCAGCACAGGACUGUCAUUGGGUGCUGAUGGAGUCAUAACGAGAGUAUUCACUGAAUAUUUGCCGUACACUGAGCACUGUAUAAAGAACUUUCACUCAUGACCACA